GCCCGGGUGGCGGAAUGGUAGACGCACAGGGCUUAAAACCCUGAGGGGGCCUAAAGAUCCCCGUGCCGGUUCGAGUCCGGCCCCGGGUA
Molecule: transfer RNA, 89 nt
Filed under: Parcubacteria group bacterium 21-54-25
Lineage: Bacteria
Also listed under: 1 other name
Description: tRNA-Leu
Rfam family: tRNA
About the family: Transfer RNA (tRNA) molecules are approximately 80 nucleotides in length. Their secondary structure includes four short double-helical elements and three loops (D, anti-codon, and T loops).
Source: RNAcentral